UAAUUAUGACGCCCACUACGAGUUCUUCAAAGCGUGGUUUACGUCAGAGAAGCUCUGCCAAUUCGGGUAUUCCUCUUCUCCAAUCAUCCUCCUCAUCUCUCUUCUCAUAUCUCUCUUAGAUUAUACUAAUUCACUUUUUAAUGGCUAAUCAGAUUUGAAGGCCGGGAAGUGUUCAUCUAGGCUGCUGCGUUUCUGGUAGGCAAGGAAUGUGAAGUGCGGUGAUAAGCUCAUGUGGUCAUGAUGGAUGUGCAUGUAAGCUACUUUCCAUUUUAUAUUAUUGGAUUUUGAUUUUUGCUCAUGAAAAUUCUGUGAUAUGAUUUUUCCAGCGAAUCUCUUUCUGUUUUUUAAAGCUGGGAUAUCUCAAAAUAUGUUUCAGGCGACGAUCUUUCAGGUCACCAUUGGUGAUAAUCGUCUUCCAAAAUUCCGAGAAAGGGUGGCCUGUUUCUCCAUUGCCUGAUGAUGAAUUACCACUCGCCCCUCCAGAUUCAGACUUGGUAUGAACUCGACUUGCCAAUAAUCAAUAGUCUUGAAAAGAUUGAGUUUAUAUAUUUGGGAGAUGGUAUUUGGUUUCGUUUGGUGACUAUAGAGUUUCAGAUAAUUAUUUAAAAGAGCUUUCACCUCAUUUUGAAGAAAGCAUUCAGGUUACUUGGGCUCAUACUUCUUGAUUUUGUUCCAAGUUUUUUUUUAAAAAAUCUUUUUGUAGAUUGAUAGAAGAUGAGCUUCAGCAAGUUAGAGGUAUUUUAUCGAUGAAACUGUGCCAUUUAAAGAACUGUUAAAGUAUUGGGGCUGUCCUCGCAACAAGUUUUUCCAGUUUUUGUUUUACGCAUUUGUUGUGAGAUCAGUAAGUGAAUCACACAAUUUUUGUUGUUGCAGAUACCUGGUGCAGGAGGCCGUUACGGACAAUACUGAUGCUGCCAUUUUUGUUGCAUUGGAUGGGUCAAUAACAAAGCUAAUCAAUGUUCGUGCCUCUUGAGGAUUUCCCUGGUAUGGUUCGCCACAAAGCCAAGCACAUCGUAACCAAGGGGUAAGAACUGCUAUGUUUUUCAGCAUCGCGUUUUAGGAUUGUUCGUUUUAGUACAAAUGCUUUUAAGCCUAUUAUGUUCAGGUUCUGAGAACGUGAGUCUAUUGUUAUAAUUUUUAUGAACCUGUUUUACUCCAAACAUUCUCUUUUAAAACAAUAAGUAAAAAAUAAUAAUAUUAGUUUGUUUACUCAAUGGUGGUAUCGAUUUUCCAUGGAUUAUUCGCACCAAUCAUGAUAGACCUCUCUGUUCCACCAAAUAUGUUUUAGCAUGUCAACAUACAUUCGCUAUCACUGUUGUUCAAAAACAAAAAAAAAAACAUUCGCUAUCACUUAGUCUUGGAAGGACACGAAGAAUUAAAGAAUAUUAUGUAUUUGUAUGCUAUUCAUAUUUUUGUUUAAAAAAGAAAAUUAUUUUGAUCAUAAUAGACCACAUACGAGUGUUUGUUUGUCGGUUUAGGAUAGUUCUACGCUUUUCGUGAGAUUGUUUUACCUCAUGAUAUUCAGUAUUGGAAAGAAAAAUAAUCACAGAUUCUUUAUGCGGAUUGUCCUUACAUAAUUUCCCUGUUAUGCUCUUCAAAUCUGUACAGGCCAAUAUCAGUGGAUUUGAUAUGAUUCAAAAUCUAAAUUCAUCAUUCAAAGCUUGCCUUAUCAUGCACUGCGCUA
RNAcentral lists this long non-coding RNA (1684 nucleotides) under Brassica rapa (field mustard). RNAcentral's name for it is "long non-coding RNA (BRAP_LNC005617)". Lineage: Eukaryota; Viridiplantae; Streptophyta; Magnoliopsida; Brassicales; Brassicaceae. The record is from RNAcentral.